This 501-nucleotide unclassified non-coding RNA is filed under the name Hevea brasiliensis (rubber tree). Lineage: Eukaryota; Viridiplantae; Streptophyta; Magnoliopsida; Malpighiales; Euphorbiaceae. The record is from RNAcentral.
UUUUCCUCUAAAGCCUUGGCUGCCUGAAAAAUUAAAAUCCAAUGAGAGCAUUAGUGAAUUUAUUAUUUCUUUCUUGGAAGCAGAAAACUAAUCAGAUCUUUGAUAUCUCUAACAACGGCGUUAAUAUACAUUGAGCCGUAUAGACAUACACAUGCAUUCUCAGGUAUGUGAUGUGUGUGGGAAUGAAUGUGUAUAGACAAGCUAGCGCACAUUUAAUAUCCAAGAGAAGACAGAAGAAUGUACACAAACAUUGUUUAGUUAAUGAUUAACUUUAUUCAACAUCAAACUGUUUUACCACUACAUUGUUACCAAUUAUCUUACAGGGAAAAAGACCCAAAGAGAUCGCAAUGAAGGGAUAACUAAGCAAGGUUUAGGCUUGAAGCACCAGUUUCUUAAUGAAUUUACAUUAUAAAUCAAAUCAUUCACAAAUUUACUUUAAAACUACAAAAUUUAUUGUUAAAACCUUAACAUAUGCAUGAUGUUUGCUGAUGAUAUAGUUCU